RNAcentral lists this long non-coding RNA (1484 nucleotides) under Papio anubis (olive baboon). RNAcentral's name for it is "lncRNA (ENSPANG00000036656.2)". Lineage: Eukaryota; Metazoa; Chordata; Mammalia; Primates; Cercopithecidae. The record is from RNAcentral.
GCAACCUCCUAGAACUUUUACUUUUAAAGGAUGCAUGCGUUUGUACAAGAACUAGCCUACAAUGGAAUAGUCUAAUGUUUAAAGCUUAAUGUUAAGAAAUUCUAUUUUCAUGUCUUUUGUAAUUCUGUAAUUAAAGUUAUUUUGUUGGGGGAGUCACAGCAAACUGAUUUAUCUAGAGUUACACUGUAUGAUGUUUAGAAGAAAGACUGAGGAAGUGAUAAAAAUAUAAAAAUAAAUAUGCAAUUACCGACAUGGAAAACACCACUAGGAUUUCAGUCAAUCACUAUAUGAUUAAAAUAUUUACCUAUGAUAAAAGAAACAAGGUAUUUGAUAAAGUACUGAUUUGCAUUAAGAAGUGAUGUACUGCUAAGAUAAUCAAUACUACAAUCAUUUUACUAUUUUGCAUUUAAGUUGUUUGGAAAAAGGUUUCUCACAAUCUAUUAGCCAUUUAAAAAGCCUUGGAAUGGGCUUAAAUAUUUUGAACAGAUCUAGAUUGUGAAAUAAGUCUUCAGUUUUUAGAGCCAAAAAUAAAAGAUUGAGGGUAAAGGGUAAAGGACAAUAUGGUUUAGACUUUAAAUGGAAAGAGAACAGAGACAAAGAGAAAAUGAUCUGGCAUUAUAUGCUCACAUCGAUGGCAGUAAUUAGGCUUUGCAGUAUCAUUAGAUAUGAUAACAAUCAUUUGUAGCCUUUUAUAGUGUUUCACAUGCUAAGCAUACAGAACCACAUGGUAGCAGGACCCUUAAUAUUUUUCACUGUUAUUUUUUUCUAAGGGAAUAAUAGUAUUCAAUUGUCAUGAAUUGGGGAGAUACACAACACAAAUUUGGAUUCUUAUCUCCCAUGGAGAAAAGAUGGAAUGUUUUAUGCCUUUUAACCAUCUGCAAAAUGUAUGGCAGUAGUAAAAUGCUAACAAGAUCUUGAGGUUAUUACAUCAAUAAACUCCAGGCACAGGAUUAAAAUGAUUGAUACUGAAAAACAUAGAGGUGUAGAUAUAGCCGCAACUCAAAAAGAGGGUCAUAAAACAGGAAGAAUAAAAACUUAUACAAACCACUGGACUCUUUGGACACCUGAGAUUGAGAUCCCCAUGAGUAUUACACACCAUCUUUAACUUCCUGUUACUUAACAAGUAAGUAUCUUUAUUGUGUUUUAUGUCUUUGGUAAACACAAAUAUCUUAAAAUGGUAUCUUCUCUUGAGGCUCAUUAAAUAAUGAAACAUGAUAAUUCUGUCUUUAGCAUUCUCCUGGAAAAGUCUGAAAAUGGAGUUAAAUGCUCAUUUAGGAAAAACAGUGUUUGAUAUUUCUUUGAGAUAGAUGAUUUAUUAGAUUUUAUAUUUACAUCCGUUUUUUGCCUCCAAACUUCUGUAUCUCAGGUGGAUGAUCUUUCAAAAGUGGUUGACAAAGAUGUAAACUCCUGUUCAUGUGUGCUUAGAUUGGAAAGGGGGAAUUAUAGAUUGGAUAUCAGAAUUACCUUUGUGAAAAACAGAUUUG